AUGCUUGUAGAAAGGAAAGACAGUUGGCAUCUCCCCUAACAGAGACAGGAACAACUUUCGAGCUUACCUGUUAUCGAUACAUACGGUUAAGACUCUCCGCUUUUUGUGGAUCUUAUCCAAUUUUUUUU
Small nuclear RNA from Malania oleifera, 128 nucleotides. Lineage: Eukaryota; Viridiplantae; Streptophyta; Magnoliopsida; Santalales; Ximeniaceae. The record is from RefSeq and is a predicted model, not a curated record.